Long non-coding RNA from Trachymyrmex septentrionalis, 1762 nucleotides. RefSeq lists it as uncharacterized. The record is from RefSeq and is a predicted model, not a curated record. The transcript is spliced from 3 exons. Lineage: Eukaryota; Metazoa; Arthropoda; Insecta; Hymenoptera; Formicidae.
CCGCCGUCGUCGCCGUCGUCGCCGCCGUCGUUGCAAUCGUCGUCGCCACCGCCGUCAAAGCAGGCGACACACACUGUUAUGUUAAACCGCCCGAUUCGCCGUAUAUCCCAUUUUCCCCACACACAGAGCAGCCGCCGAUCACUAGUGCCAAUAACGUCAACACCAAACACUACCAGCGACAGCAAUAACACAGGAGUAGCAGCAACGUAACGUGACAAACUUCGUGCGCGCGCGCGCGCGUGCUUAAUCGGACCGGCACCGUCAGCAGGUAGUCAGUCGCCGGGCGUCUCGAUGCCGACGCUUCCCGCUUCCUCGUCACUCUCGUCCUCCUCUACCUCGUUGAGAUGCGCCCUCGCGCUCACUUCGUCUCUCCGUCUCUCGCUUCGCGCGUCACCUCUCCUCUACCUGCCACUACCGCGCGGACGGGGCCGACGAGGGGACACGAGAGAGAGGAAAAGGGGAGGGGAAGGGGGGGAGUGGAGCGGAGGGAUCACAACCACACGCUCGGUGAGAGAGAGAAAGAGAGAGAGAGACGGAGGUACUCUCUCCUCCGCCCUCCCUCGAGAACGACAAGCGAAAAGAAGCGGCGCCGCCACUUCUGCCUUUCUCUCUCUCUCUCUCCCUCUCUUUCUUUCUUUCCCUCUUUCUUUUUUCCUCCCGCGCUCUUUAUAUCGGAUGUUGGAUAUUUCCGUCCUUCUCUGUAUGUAACGUUCUUCCUUUUUCCUCUUCGCACCUUUCUUUUUUUUUUUUUUUUUCCUUUAACAAGAAUCACGGACACAAACACAUCACGCGCUAAAAUUCUCUAUGCGCGUCUGUUCUCUCUGUUUCCCUUUCGUCCUUUCCGUUUUUCUAUCCUUCUUUUACAGAGCACCACACACGCACACUCGAUAUCUCACUUCGUCGAUGCCGAGAGCGCGCGCACAAACGUAUGUACGUACGCACGCACGCACGCACGACGUCGACGACGUUAUAGUCAAGGAUUAUUAUGUGCACGUAAUUCGCGAUCCGAGACAGGUAUCGCGCGCGACACGAGCGAAACAGUUUCACUACGAAGUUGCGCGGGUUGAGAUGUUCGCGUCCUAGACGAAUGUUAAGUGUGACGCCGCGAACGCCGAGUCACCGGGUGCACACGAGUGGCGCAGAAACGACCACCACAACGACGAAACGCAGCACUGGACAUCGCCUUCGGGAUUGGAAACACUCCAGGGAUUCUCAACCUAGACGACAGACGCAUUACUGCGCAGGGCCGUACCCCGGCCGUACUGCGGAAAGUAAUACCUAGAGUAGGGUUACCAGCUGUACCCUUAAGAGAGAGAGGAAGAGUACAUAUAUUCUUUUUCAGCUUUAAGAAAGAAAUAUUACUAUGAUCGCUAAACCCUACAAGGAAAAACUAAUUGUGGGGUAUCCAAAGGGCCCAAUUCGCGUACGGUCCUGCCGACAAAAAGAGGGAGGAUGCGAGGCUUGAUCGCUGUCGAGAGCGCACGCUUCUUUCAAAUUUAACUCUUAAGACCUCCGUCGCUCGUGCGUAGUUUAUGCUACGUGCCUGUGUGCACCACCAGCCUUCAACAAUAUGCUCCGAGACCGAGUAAGCUAGCCGCAAACAGAAGCUCCAUAAUCCUCCGGGCGGAUUAUGUCUGAUAUUCAGCUACGAUAUACCGAUCGUUAUCGCGGCCAUCCUCUUUGUUUCAGUUCUGAGAAAAGUGUAGAACAAUACCCGGAAUUAUUGUACAAAAUAUAAAUUCAGUGAAAAUAUAGAUGUCAA